AGUCACUCUGCUAAGAGUCUCACUUUGCUGCACACCUGUCGCUAACCUUGACUUUGUGAUGUUCCUAACCUUUUCAUGCUAUUGAUUGACAAUCUGUUUAUUAAUAGAAUAAGAACAUUUAUAGAAUAUAAGCAUUUUUCUGAUUAAAAGUAAUACAAGUUUAUUAUAGAAAUUUACAAAAAUUAAAAACAUCUCACCACCUGGAGAUAAUCAUGAUUAACUUUUUAACAUGAAUCUUUUCAGACUAUUCUGUGUACUUAAAAAAAAAAUGUGUUAUAUGCUGUGAAAACUGAAAAAUACAGAAAGCAAUACCAUCCAGGAAAUAAUAAUUCUCCAUAAUUCCAACUCCAGGAAAUAAAUUGCUGAGAUUAUAUGG
This 376-nucleotide long non-coding RNA is filed under the name Bos taurus (domestic cattle). RNAcentral's name for it is "long non-coding RNA NONBTAT017535". Lineage: Eukaryota; Metazoa; Chordata; Mammalia; Artiodactyla; Bovidae. The record is from RNAcentral.